RNAcentral lists this ribosomal RNA (517 nucleotides) under uncultured bacterium. Its description in RNAcentral is "bacterial SSU rRNA". It matches the Rfam family "Bacterial small subunit ribosomal RNA", at positions 20 to 518 of the family's 1533-position model. The record is from RNAcentral.
UGGCUCAGAUUGAACGCUGGCGGCGUGCUUAACACAUGCAAGUCGCGCGUGAAAGGACUACGGUCCGAGUAAAGCGGCGCACGGGUGAGUAACGCGUGGAUGAUCUACCCAUGAGUUAGGAAUAACGGCUGGAAACGGUCGCUAAUACCAAAUACGCUCCGAUUUCAACUUCGGGGGAAAGGUGGCCUCUGCUUGCAAGCUACUGCUCAUGGAUGAGUCCGCGUCCCAUUAGCUAGUUGGUGGGGUAACGGCCCACCAAGGCGACGAUGGGUAGCCGGUCUGAGAGGAUGACCGGCCACACUGGGACUGGAACACGGGCCCAGACUCCUACGGGAGGCAGCAGUGGGGAAUAUUGCGCAAUGGGCGAAAGCCUGACGCAGCGACGCCGCGUGAGGGAUGAAAAGGGUCCUCGGAUCGUAAACCUCUGUCAGGAGGGAAGAACCGCCACGGUGCUAAUCAGCCGUGGUCUGACGGUACCUCCAAAGGAAGCACCGGCUAACUCCGUGCCAGCAGCAGC